Molecule: non-coding RNA, 69 nt
Organism: Nicotiana attenuata
Lineage: Eukaryota; Viridiplantae; Streptophyta; Magnoliopsida; Solanales; Solanaceae
Source: Rfam
UUGAGCCGUAUGAGGUAAGAAAUUCUCAAGUACGGUUCUUAGGGAAGGAAUUGAACUACCUAUUCCGGC